GCAGUAGAACACUUGGUAGAGUGCUUGCCUAACAUGCAAGAAGCCCUGGGUUCAAUUCCCAGCACUGUA
RNAcentral lists this transfer RNA (69 nucleotides) under Neotoma lepida (desert woodrat). It matches the Rfam family "tRNA". Rfam says of the family: Transfer RNA (tRNA) molecules are approximately 80 nucleotides in length. The record is from Rfam by way of RNAcentral. Lineage: Eukaryota; Metazoa; Chordata; Mammalia; Rodentia; Cricetidae.